This is a long non-coding RNA of Zingiber officinale, 2419 nucleotides long. RefSeq lists it as uncharacterized. Lineage: Eukaryota; Viridiplantae; Streptophyta; Magnoliopsida; Zingiberales; Zingiberaceae. The transcript has 3 exons. The record is from RefSeq and is a predicted model, not a curated record.
UAAUUUUUGUCUGCAGGCAAUUCACCCCCCUCUUGCCGGUCCCCGCUGCACCAACAAGUGAGACAGAAUCUAAUUAUCACUAUAUUUUAUUAUAUUUAUGCUAACUUCUGUUUUGCAGGGUAACAUAAUAAUUAUUGUAUCAGACUAAUCAUUUUCUUGCAGGAAAAAUCUUUUGCUGGAAAAAGGGUCCAGGCGCCUGGAGUGCAAAACUUAUCUCGUCGCAAACUUGGAGCGCGUUGAUUGGCUGGGCCAACAUCACGGUCCAAGCACCUGGAAGGGAUCCGGGCGCCCGGAGAACUCCUAUAAAAGGAGCCUUCCUCCAUAGCUACAAACAAUAACUUUUGCUACGAUUGCUAUGUUACGCUCUGCUCCUACGACACUGCGAAGCCUCUCCAACAACUUGCAGCUCGAUUUUCUUUUCAAUUGUUGUCGGUAUUCUUUUCAUAGUUCCUAUACUUAUUCUGUAAUCAUUUUUUUUGAAUUAUUAGUGAUUUCACACUGAAGCACUCUCAUGUGCGAGCCUUGGAGUAGGAGUCACUGAAGGCUCCGAACCAAGUAAAAUUGGUUGUGUUAGCAUUGCCCUUACUUUUCUUAUUUCCGUUGCAUACUCGAAUCGAUUUUUGAAUUCCUAACGUUCGUUAUUCCCCCCCCCCCCCCCCCCUCGCGAGCUCUACGAUCCAACAAGUGGCAUUAGAACAGACACUGCUCUGAAUUGGUGCAACCUCCAAUUGAGCAAGGAAAGUUCCAUUAGGGACAAAAUUAGGAGAUUAUCCAAUUGAAAAAGCAACAGAGGUUUCCUAGUAUACAUUAUUUAUUUAUAUUGUAGUCAUUUUUAUCUAUAUCUUUGUAAUUUUUCCUGUAUUUGAUGGUAAGAAUAUGUCUUAUAUGAGGUUUUAUUCAUUUUUAUAAGGUCUUCGGUAAGAAAAGAGAUAGUUAGGCUAUCCAUCUAAAUCUAGGCCAUGGAGUCAAAAUAGAUACUUCUAAAUCAAGUAUAUCAUUGUAUCUCUUAUUUUUAUUUUUGUUUUGUUUUGUAUAUGUUCUUUAUAUUUUUCAAUAACCUUCUAUAGACCAACAGAAAAUAGACGAACAAAAAUAAUGUGUAUCGUUAUUCAUCCCUGAUUAAUGACAUCACCAAUCGUAACAAAACACAGAAAUAUUUCAUUAAAAUAAUAAUAAAUUUAAUACUUAACUAAAUUGAUAUAUCUCAUGGAAUACUCUAAAAAGAUAAUUAUAAAUUACAACAGUAAGAAUAAUUUUAAUAUUAAUAAUAAGUAAUGAUAAUAAAAAUUAGCUUGUCGUUAUUCACUUGUAUUUAUUAUUAUCAAAAGAUUUUUAAAAUAUUUCUUUUUUACAAUCACACAUUUUCAUCAUAGAAUAUGUCAAAAACAGUUAUUGAUAAAUAUUUUUAUUUUUUUAAACCAUAACUUCCAGUGUUAUUAUUUUUAUAUAUGUGGUACUUGGCAUUAAAAUGUAUUAUUUUAUUAAAAAGUGACAAGACUAAUAUUGUUUAAAAUUGAUUAAAAAAACUAUUUUCAUUAUAAAUUGUGUGAAACAUGAAUGCAUGCUUACUAUGGUUAGGGUAUAGAUUGAAUAAUAAAUAAAAUAUAUUUAUUUUAAAUCUAAACAAAUACAUAUGCCUUAAAAAUAUACCUUCUGACCAGUACAUGGGCAAUGGUAAGUUUCUAUGGUCACUAUUUCUUGUUUUGGAUUUCCAUAAAUCAUUUAAGAAAUUUCAUAGCACCUCUAUAAAAGUCAACGAAGAAGUGAGGAAAUACAUAUCACUUAACAAGCAUUGCACAUAAGAAGACUAGAGUGAAGGAUGGCAUCGACAAAAGGAGUAAUCCUUUGUGUGCUCUUCAAUAUGAUCAUUUGCUCGUGUUAUAUUAUUGCAACAGGUUUGAUCAUAGUUCAAUAGAAAGAGUUAUCAUUUUACCAUGCUUUUUAGAGAUAUUCAUGCUUAAAUUUGACUCUCAUAUGUAAAUUUUGGUUCUAACAAUAUCUCUUUACUUCUCUUAUUUGUAAGAGUCGAGAUAUUAUGGAGGAUAUCGCAUCGUCGCAAAAACAUGGUGCAUAGCAAACCCCCUUGCAAGCCCAGCUGCAUUACAAAGGGACAUCGAUAGCUUAUGCAAUGGCAUUGUUGAUUGCAGCUCGAUUCAACCAGGGGGCUCAUGCUACAAUCCCAACACAGUGGCGGAUCAUGCCUCUGUUGCCCUGAACCUCAACUAUAAAAAUCAUCAGUCUCAGCAACAAUUUUGUACUGGUGAUGGAUUCAUAACGAUGUCUAAUCCAUCACAUGGAUCUUGCGUUUUUCCAUAAAGGAGAAGGCUGUUAAAGGGACUCAUCAUCAAUAAAUUUGUCUCUCACCUUGUUUUUAAACAUUUGAUCAGCCAUUUGUCGCAAGCUUAAUAAAAGAUGUCCC